This 412-nucleotide long non-coding RNA is filed under the name Androctonus crassicauda. The record is from RNAcentral. Lineage: Eukaryota; Metazoa; Arthropoda; Arachnida; Scorpiones; Buthidae.
AUCAAUAUUUCUUUAUCGGAUGGCCUUAUAAAAUGUUAGUUUACAAUUUAGAGGAUUUGGAUUCAAUUCUAGCCAUACAUCAAAUUUUUUUUACUGGCUGUGGCACUAAACUUGUGAAUCCCAUCCAUUUAUGACCUAUUCCAUCAGGAGAUCAGUUGUAUUAGCUGAAUGAAUGUGCUUUCUGUUUCAGUUAUAAGAACUCAGAAUCAAAUCCAUUUCCUAUUUGAAAUCAGUAUGUGGGUACAUGUACAUGUAUCAGUAUCAGGGUACAUGUGGCAUAAUACAGGACAAAUGAUAUUAGUGCCAGUUAUAUUCCUAUACAUUAAAAAUGCCUGCUUUAAUCCACUUUUAAAAUAUUCACUCAUUAUAAAUUUCUCUAAAAGUGAAAUAAAGCUUGUAUAUCAAAUUUUUG